Molecule: transfer RNA, 77 nt
Filed under: Aequorivita lutea
Lineage: Bacteria; Pseudomonadati; Bacteroidota; Flavobacteriia; Flavobacteriales; Flavobacteriaceae
Description: Aequorivita sp. q18 tRNA-OTHER
Source: RNAcentral
GGGGGAUUAGCUCAGCUGGCUAGAGCGUCCCGAACUAGCUUCGGGAAGGCCAUCGGUUCGACCCCGAUAUUUUCACG